GGAGGGAGGUGCAACAGCGUGUCUGGGUGACAGUUUUCCAUCUUAGGGUUUUUUAAUAUAAAAGUGAAAGAGGGAUUUUAAAUUUAAUAGGAGUGCAGAAAGAAAAAGAUGGGUGCAGCUAGAAGUAGCCCUCCACCAACCAAAAUUUUGUAGGGGCCCAAUCAGUUGCAUUCUUUAUUAGAGCCCAAAAUCAUAAUUAAGUUAGAAGAAAAAAAAAUAGAUAACACCUAGUAUUCUCUGACUAAAGUUAAAGUUUUGUUUUGAAAAUAUAUCGAGG
RNAcentral lists this long non-coding RNA (277 nucleotides) under Vigna radiata. RNAcentral describes it as "long non-coding RNA (VRAD_LNC013453)". Lineage: Eukaryota; Viridiplantae; Streptophyta; Magnoliopsida; Fabales; Fabaceae. The record is from RNAcentral.